CACAUGGUGGCUCACAACCAUCUGAUGCCCUCACAACCAUCUGAUGCCCUCUUCUGGUAUGUCUAAAGACAGCUACAGGGUACUUAUAUAUAAUCAAUCAGUCAAUCGAUCAAUCUUUAAAAAAAAAAAGAAACAACAGAUAAAAUUAAGUAUGAUGGUGCAUGACUGUAAUCCCAGCACCCAAGAGGUGGAGGCAGGAGGAUUAGAAAUUGACAUUAAAGUCAUCCUUGACUACCACAUGGCAAGUUUGAGACCAGCUUGGGAUACAUGAGAUCUUUCUCAAAAGCAAAUGAACAGACAGAAAUAGGUAAUAAAAAAUCUCUGUAUAGUUUUGAAGGAUCUCACAUGCUUCAGAAUGUAGUACGCACCUUUAAAUAGUUACAUGUGGUGCGUGUGGGUUUUGUUUCAAGUGAAGGUAGCAUUAGCCGCCUCAGAUACAGAGCUCAAGUCUGUGGAUACACACCACAACUUACUGGCUUUAUGGAUGAUUCUAAAGAUUAUCUUCUUAUCAGGACGUGAGUGCAGUUGGAUUAUUCUGUGUUUUGAGACACUGUGUCUUGUGUACCCCAGGCUGGUUUUAAACUUUCUAUGUAGCUGAAGAUGACCCUGAACUUCCCAUCUAUGUCAGAUAUUAUUAAAAUUUAGAUACAGAAAAACCAAUUCUGUUAAUAUAUAAAGUAGACAAUAGAGUUUUGGUCUGAAAGCAUGAACUUUAGUUUCAUUUUUUAAUCUUUAUAGGCUGAGGCAGGCAUUAUUAUUUAUUUAGUAGUUUGGAAGUUGAGACUUAGCCUUGUUUUAUUUCUCCUACCAGUGGCCUCUUGCUCUUCAUGUCUGCAAACAAUCUUCUAAUUCUUCUUUCUAAAUAAAGUUUUUUAUUUCAUUUU
This 884-nucleotide long non-coding RNA is filed under the name Mus musculus (house mouse). Its description in RNAcentral is "long non-coding RNA chr5:23790701-23791585". The record is from RNAcentral. Lineage: Eukaryota; Metazoa; Chordata; Mammalia; Rodentia; Muridae.